CACGUGAGCCUCAAGCGUUACCCGGAUUCACUGGGCGUAAAGGGUGUGCAGGUGGCUGUGUUAGUCGUUCGUGAAAUCCCGCAGCUCAACUGCGGGCGUGCGAGCGAAACGGCACAGCUAGAGGAUGCGAGGGGUCUGCGGAACUCAUGGUGUAGGGGUGAAAUCCGUUGAUAUCAUGGGGAACACCGAAAGCGAAGGCAGCAGACUGGCGCACUCCUGACACUGAGACACGAAAGCGUGGGUAGCGAACGGG
This 253-nucleotide unclassified non-coding RNA is filed under the name uncultured Parcubacteria group bacterium. RNAcentral describes it as "contains 16S-23S intergenic spacer region". It matches the Rfam family "Bacterial small subunit ribosomal RNA", at positions 524 to 776 of the family's 1533-position model. The record is from RNAcentral.